AAAAAGAUAAAAAAAAUGUUUUAUAUGCAAGACGAUGCGUGCUAUAAGUGAUACGAAACAGGAACUAUUUAUUUUAUGGAUAUGAUGAAACUAAAGCUCAAUUGUAUACACAGUACUUUACAGAUUAGUUUUCUAUUUCAACUUUUUAAUGAUUCUUUUUUCUUUUCAUCAUUGUGUUACCUCAAUCAUUUUUUGAAUACUGAUAUGUAUAAGUUCCUUAAAAUAUAUUUACUUAGUGUAUAUAUAUGACAUACGGAUUUGACUUUAAUCACUCAUUAUGAAAUUCUCUCAGAAAAGAAUUAGAAAAUUGUAAAGGACAUUUUAACGUGAUCGUUUUAUUUGAUCGGACUCUUGAAUACAUAUUUGUUUUAUGAAGAAGUGUACUUUUUGUUAUGACAUUU
RNAcentral lists this long non-coding RNA (401 nucleotides) under Mytilus galloprovincialis (Mediterranean mussel). The record is from RNAcentral. Lineage: Eukaryota; Metazoa; Mollusca; Bivalvia; Mytilida; Mytilidae.